GAUGAACGCUGGCGGCGUGCCUAAUACAUGCAAGUCGAGCGAACAGACGAGGAGCUUGCUCCUCUGACGUUAGCGGCGGACGGGUGAGUAACACGUGGAUAACCUACCUAUAAGACUGGGAUAACUUCGGGAAACCGGAGCUAAUACCGGAUAAUCUAUUGAACCGCAUUGUUCAAUAGUGAAAGACGGUUUUGCUGUCACUUAUAGAUGGAUCCGCGCCGCAUUAGCUAGUUGGUAAGGUAACGGCUUACCAAGGCGACGAUGCGUAGCCGACCUGAGAGGGUGAUCGGCCACACUGGAACUGAGACACGGUCCAGACUCCUACGGGAGGCAGCAGUAGGGAAUCUUCCGCAAUGGGCGAAAGCCUGACGGAGCAACGCCGCGUGAGUGAUGAAGGUCUUCGGAUCGUAAAACUCUGUUAUUAGGGAAGAACAAAUGUGUAAGUAACGAUGCACGUCUUGACGGUACCUAAUCAGAAAGCCACGGCUAACUACGU
RNAcentral lists this ribosomal RNA (496 nucleotides) under uncultured bacterium. RNAcentral's name for it is "partial 16S ribosomal RNA". It matches the Rfam family "Bacterial small subunit ribosomal RNA", at positions 28 to 506 of the family's 1533-position model. The record is from RNAcentral.